UGAAGUUUUUCGGGAAAGCGGCAGAUGCCCGCCGAAGGAGUAAUACUCUCAGGCAUCCUGAUAAAGGAUAGGACCGGAAAAU
This 82-nucleotide non-coding RNA is filed under the name Ruminococcus sp. RNAcentral describes it as "Glycine sequence". It matches the Rfam family "Glycine riboswitch aptamer". From Rfam's summary of the family: This family represents the bacterial glycine riboswitch. Glycine riboswitches usually consist of two metabolite-binding aptamers domains with similar structures in tandem. The aptamers cooperatively bind glycine to regulate the expression of downstream genes. The record is from RNAcentral. Lineage: Bacteria; Bacillati; Bacillota; Clostridia; Eubacteriales; Oscillospiraceae.